RNAcentral lists this ribosomal RNA (303 nucleotides) under uncultured bacterium. Its description in RNAcentral is "partial 16S ribosomal RNA". It matches the Rfam family "Bacterial small subunit ribosomal RNA", at positions 507 to 807 of the family's 1533-position model. The record is from RNAcentral.
AGCAGCCGCCGCGGUAAUACAGAGGGUGCGAGCGUUAAUCGGAUUUACUGGGCGUAAAGCGUGCGUAGGCGGCUAAUUGAGUCGGAUGUGAAAUCCCCGAGCUUAACUUGGGAAUUGCAUUCGAUACUGGUUAGCUAGAGUGUGGGAGAGGAUGGUAGAAUUCCAGGUGUAGCGGUGAAAUGCGUAGAGAUCUGGAGGAAUACCGAUGGCGAAGGCAGCCAUCUGGCCUAACACUGACGCUGAGGUACGAAAGCAUGGGGAGCAAACAGGAUUAGAUACCCCGGUAGUCCCUGUCUCUUAUAC